Molecule: RNA transcript, 4498 nt
Organism: Ahaetulla prasina
Lineage: Eukaryota; Metazoa; Chordata; Lepidosauria; Squamata; Colubridae
Gene: PORCN
Gene name: porcupine O-acyltransferase
Exons: 15
Source: RefSeq, a predicted model, not a curated record
UCCGGAGAGCUGGGGAAAAGAGGGUGGUGCGAAUAAAGACGCAUCGGUGAGUUAGCCCCAACGCCGUGCCUGCCUCUUUAAGGCAUGCCGCUGGAACAGCUGGCCUAAAAGGAGCUAGAGGGCCGGUGCUAGGAUGGAUGAGAGGCAUUAAGGUUGGGGCCAUGGCCACUUUUACACGGGAAGAGUUUUACCAGCAGCUGUUGAGCAGUUGUGUGUUGCCAACUGCUCAGCAGGGUUUUGAACAGGUUUGGACUCUGCUGCUCUUGUGUCUAGCUUGCCGGCUUCUAUGGAGGUUAUCUCUGCCAUCCUAUGUUAAGCAUCUGAGCACCGUCGCUAGUGGCUUCUAUGCCCUCUACCAUUUUUUUCAGCUGCAGAUGGUGUGGGUUGUGCUCCUCAGCCUCUUGUGCUACCUGGUUUUAUUCCUGUGUCGCCACUCAACCCAGCGUGGAGUUCUGCUCUCCAUCACCAUCCUCAUCUAUUUGCUUAUGGGAGAGAUGCAUAUGGUAGACACUGUGAAUUGGCAUAAGAUGAGAGGUGCCCAGAUGAUUGUGGCAAUGAAGGCUGUGUCACUGGGCUUUGAUCUGGACCGGGGCGAAGUACCAACCAUUCCAUCCCCAGUUGAGUUCAUGGGGUAUAUCUACUUUGUCGGAACCGUUAUUUUUGGACCCUGGUUCCGCUUUCGCACCUAUCUGCAGGCAGUAGAGAGCAGGAAAAUAACUUUCUCCUGGUUUCAGAAGGUCUUUUUGAGCUUCUUCCUCUGCCUUGUGUGCCUCAUCAUGUCUACCUGCGUGGCUCCCUAUCUCUUCUCAUACUUCAUACCUCUCUACAGCUACAGGCAACUUAGGAAGAAGCGCAGAAGCAGGUGGCUCAGGGCUUACGAGAGUGCCAGUUCUUUCCAUUUCAGCAAUUACUUUGUGGGCUUUCUGUCUGAAACUACAGCUACCCUGGCAGGAUCAGGUUUUACAGAGGAAAAGGAGAAUUUGAAAUGGGACCUGAGAGUGUCUCAUCCUCUGAGGGUGGAGUUGCCACGUUCUAUGGUGGAGGUGGUCACCAGCUGGAACCUGCCUAUGUCACGAUGGCUAAACUCCUAUGUUUUUAAGAACUCCUUGAAACUGGGGACCUUCUCGGCCAUCAUUGUAACCUACGCAGCUAGUGCCCUCUUACAUGGGCUGAGCUUCCAUUUGGCUGCUGUGUUGUUGUCACUCGGCUUCAUCACUUACAUUGAACAUGUUCUCAGAAAGAGGUUGUCUGUCAUCUUUGAUGCCUGUAUACUCUCCAAGAAGUGUCAACCAGGAUGCUCACAUCGCCACAGCACGAAUCUCUGGGUUCGUCUCCUCAACCUGCUCUUUGGGGCUCUCGCUGUCUUCCACUUGGCCUACUUAGGCUCAUUAUUUGAUAUGGAUGCCGAUGACUCUAUGGAAGAACAGGGCUACGGCAUGUCUUAUACCAUCAACAAAUGGUCUGAGUUGAGCUGGGCCAGCCACUGGGUGACCUUCGGGUGCUGGGUCUUCUAUCGUCUCAUCAGCUGAAGCAGGACCUUCAUGUGAACUCGAGGAGAUGGAGCAGGGAAUGGGUGGAGAGGCAGAAUUGAUAAUACUCCUCACCUUCAAGAACAUUGGAUGCCCACCAUCGACUUGAGUGCCAUGGAUAUUGACUGAUUCGUUCUUUCUCUGGGAUGCUGAUGGGGGGAAGGGCUCCCCCAGCAGUUCACUUGUGUGCCCUAAAGAGGGGGGGAACAUGCAUCCCAUGUAGAAAAGGCUGGUUGAGUACGAAGUUGAGGUACUCCUGAAUACCUAUUUUUAAAAAAGCCUUUUCUUCCUUUUCCAACAUGGUGUGGACCAGGGGUCUCCAACCUUGGCAACUUUAAGACUUGUGGACUUCAACUCCCAGAAUUCCUCAGCCAGCUUUGCUUCGCUGGCUGAGGAAUUCUGGGAGUUGAAGUCCACAAGUCUUAAAGUUGCCAAGGUUGGAGACCCUGGUCUGGACUACAGUAUCUAUAAUAUUCUUCCAUUGGUUUCCUGGGGCUUGUGGGAGUUGUUAUUCAGAGAGUACCAGAUUGCCAGUUCAGAUAUUGUACCUCUUUGAGAAAAAAACUGGCUCCUGCCAGGUCCUUGAUGACACUCCCUCUAGUGGCAAUUGAAGAAACUGCACCAGCUUUCCUUCCCCUCUGAAUUAUUUUUACUGCAUGUUUUGCCUCUUUUUGCCCUCUUGCGGCUGCAGGUGGGAGCUGCACCCGCUGCUUCUGAGGUACCCCUUAUUACUCCUUAUGAAAUUCUGUCUUUAGUGUAAAGUCUGAUGAUUAGCCAAUGGGAAUCAUGAUGCUUUAAAUUGCAUUGAAGAUGCUGUUGAUUAUCUUUAAAAGUAGGACAGUUUGUGUAGAUGUAGCUUUUCUCUGUUUUGCUUCUAAAGCCCUUGGAUUUUUUCAGACAAUCGUGGCAGAAGCAUUGUUGAGGCCAUGGAGAAGAGGGCUGGAAAGUCCUGGGAAAGAGCACAAGAAAUUCUAAGUAGGGAUAAUCUUCAAGGAGAACUGAACCUUUUGAAAUUUUCACUAUCUGAAUCUAUGGAAUUCCUGUUCAUUUCAAUUUUUAUCCACUUGUGAUAUGGUGGCAGAAGCUGGCAUCGUUUUUUUAAUCUGAGUGCAGCUGCUCAGAUAUUUAAUUCAGUGCCAAAUUCUGCACAGAAGCUUAAACUGCCCUAGUAAUAGCAUACAAUUGAUUGGAUUAAUUAAUCUGGAAUAACGCUUGUUCCGUAGUUUAAUGAAUAUAUUGUGGAUAAAGUGCCCACUAAGGGUUAAAAAGAAAAAGGAGGACUGGGAGAGGAGAACCAUUGUGCCUUCUUGACAUAUGUUACCCUCCUGUCUUUAUAAAUAGAUCAAAAGCUUAUUCCAGUGAUUUGGAGGAAGUACACCCCCCCCCCGAUUUCUGUUAUGCAGUAUUUACAAACUAAGGAUUGCAUUGCUUCCUUUGUCACCAACACACCAAUAAUCCCAUGGCAGGAUUUAGGUAGUAUACUUCCUGUUAGAAGUACCACCCUGUCAUUGCAGUAAAGAAUGAACCUUUAACCUGGUUUUGUCAUGGGGAAGGCAAGAUCACAAUAGGAUCAAAACAUUCAAUAUGGACAAUGCCUAAUAGUAGAAAGGUGAAACAUUGAGCAGUUAUCUAACGCUUCUCCUGUAAAGGGAAGCUAAAUGCAGACAAGCCUUUUAAACUUAUAAAAGUUUAGAGAGCCAAUGUACUUGAGGUCUUGUAGAAUCACUACCUGAAUCAGUUCAGGUAGGACAAGUGAGACACACUUAUGGCAUCGGAUUCAUUAUUGGGCAACAAUAUAAGUUCCUGACAUAUUGAAAGUAAAUGGUUUUGUGAGAAGCUAUCACCCUUUCCCUAACAUGCUAGUUUAUUAUGUGUGUUGCUAUUUUUAAAAGUGCAUGUGUGAAAAAGUGGCUCACACACCAACUACAAAUGGGAGUAUUCAUUUCCCCCCUCCCCCCCGCACACAAUCCAGAUGUCCUCCAGAGUCUUGGACUUAAGGUGUCUUCCCACAAUUUUUAUUUGCUGGCCCAAAUACAAAAGUAAAAAAAGGUUGCAUUGUGAUCUGAGUUUUGAUCACCUUGCUACUCCUCCUUGCCUCUCUCUGUAAGGGCACAGCAGAAUAAGUGUGCAACCGGAUGCAAAAAUAAGAUCAGAGAAUAUUUCAGCAGAUAAUGCUUGUUUUUGUAUGAUACUGGUGCAUGUUGAGCUUCUUUCUUCCAUCCAGCUGUUUAAAGCCCUGAAUCCUGAUUCUUUUUAGCAUUUCUUUAUCUACUAAUUCUUCUUUCGUUUUGGAGGAAUCAAGACCUUGCCGGAAUACAGUCUAACUCCAUUCCAAGUUUUUUUGUGGACUACAGUGUUAAAAUCCCAGGAUAUAUCUUCUGGCCCUUGCCUAGGUGAGGAAAACUGGACUUGGCCCUGUUGCCAAGACACCCAUCUUAGCCUGUGUCAAUGAUUAAUUCAGUGACUAAUGAUGAGAAAGGAGGAAGUCAUUGGCUGGGGGAGUGGUACCUGUCCCAGUGAGAAGAAAAUGGCGCAUGACCCAAACUGCUCCCUUAUCGGCGAUCAAUUGCCUCUGUCAUCCGAGAUCUUCCAAGGUGAGGAUGGGGAAUUUGUGGAAAGCUGCAGCCCAGACAAGUUGAGGUUCUGGUAAUGAAGGGUGAAAGAUGGAGGGAAGGCAGAAUAAAGGCAUCAUCCAAAGUUCCCCAGAGUUUAGCCUCAUAAAUACAAUUUUGCCGACAGUAGCCAAGUAAUAAUGGGAGCAUUCUGCUCAAUGCAGAAGUCUUUCCAUUACGAGAGCAAGCCAGUGGUGAAAUGUAAAAUUUAUUACUACCAGUUCUGUGGACGUGGCUUGGUGAUGGGGGUAAUGUGACUAAGUGGGUGUGGCCAACUUUUUUUUUUCUUUUAAAAGCAUUUUUUCUACAACCUCUUUGGCCAAAGAGGUUGUAGAAAAAAUGCUUUUAAACGCCUCU